GUCCGCGCCGUAAACGAUGAACACUUGGUGUUGGAGGUAUUGACCCCUUCAGUGCCGAAGCUAACGCGUUAAGUGUUCCGCCUGGGGAGUACGGUCGCAAGAUUAAAACUCAAAGAAAUUGACGGGGGCCCGCACAAGCGGUGGAGCAUGUGGUUUAAUUCGAUGCAACGCGAAGAACCUUACCUGGCCUUGACAUCUAGUGGAAGACUCUCAGAAAUGAGGUCGCCUUCGGGCCGCUAGACAGGUGCUGCAUGGCUGUCGU
This 262-nucleotide ribosomal RNA is filed under the name uncultured bacterium. Its description in RNAcentral is "partial 16S ribosomal RNA". It matches the Rfam family "Bacterial small subunit ribosomal RNA", at positions 793 to 1055 of the family's 1533-position model. The record is from RNAcentral.